Molecule: ribosomal RNA, 496 nt
Filed under: uncultured bacterium
Lineage: Bacteria
Description: partial 16S ribosomal RNA
Rfam family: Bacterial small subunit ribosomal RNA
Source: RNAcentral
AUGAACGCUGGCGGCGUGCCUAAUACAUGCAAGUCGAGCGAACAGACGAGGAGCUUGCUCCUCUGACGUUAGCGGCGGACGGGUGAGUAACACGUGGAUAACCUACCUAUAAGACUGGGAUAACUUCGGGAAACCGGAGCUAAUACCGGAUAAUAUAUUGAACCGCAUGGUUCAAUAGUGAAAGACGGUUUUGCUGUCACUUAUAGAUGGAUCCGCGCCGCAUUAGCUAGUUGGUAAGGUAACGGCUUACCAAGGCAACGAUGCGUAGCCGACCUGAGAGGGUGAUCGGCCACACUGGAACUGAGACACGGUCCAGACUCCUACGGGAGGCAGCAGUAGGGAGUCUUCCGCAAUGGGCGAAAGCUUGACGGAGCAACGCCGCGUGAGUGAUGAAGGUCUUCGGAUCGUAAAACUCUGUUAUUAGGGAAGAACAAAUGUGUAAGUAACUAUGCACGUCUUGACGGUACCUAAUCAGAAAGCCACGGCUAACUACGUG